This 450-nucleotide ribosomal RNA is filed under the name uncultured bacterium. RNAcentral describes it as "bacterial SSU rRNA". It matches the Rfam family "Bacterial small subunit ribosomal RNA", at positions 354 to 796 of the family's 1533-position model. The record is from RNAcentral.
GCUAAGAAUAUUCCGCAAUGGACGAAAGUCUGACGGAGCGACGCCGCGUGGAUGAAGAAGGCCGAAAGGUUGUAAAAUCCUUUUGUCGGGGAAGAAUAAGCGUGGGAGGGAAUGCCCGCGUGAUGACAUGAACCGGCGAAUAAGCCCCGGCUAACUACGUGCCAGCAGCCGCGGUAACACGUAGGGGGCAAGCGUUGUUCGGAAUUACUGGGCGUAAAGGGCAUGUAGGCGGUUUUGUAAGCCUGGCGUGAAAUUCUGCAGCUUAACUGUAGGACUGCGCUGGGAACUGCGAGACUGGAGUCACGGAGAGGGAGCCAGAAUUCCAGGUGUAGGGGUGAAAUCUGUAGAUAUCUGGAAGAAUACCAAUGGCGAAGGCAGGCUUCUGGCCGAUGACUGACGCUGAGGUGCGAAAGCGUGGGUAGCAAACAGGAUUAGAAACCCUUGUAGUCC